This 459-nucleotide ribosomal RNA is filed under the name uncultured bacterium. RNAcentral's name for it is "partial 16S ribosomal RNA". It matches the Rfam family "Bacterial small subunit ribosomal RNA", at positions 338 to 795 of the family's 1533-position model. The record is from RNAcentral.
CCUACGGGCGGCAGCAGUGAGGAAUAUUGGUCAAUGGGCGUAAGCCUGAACCAGCCAAGCCGCGUGAGGGAUGAAGGUUCUCUGGAUCGUAAACCUCUUUUAUAAGGGAAUAAAGUGCGGGACGUGUCCCGUUUUGUAUGUACCUUAUGAAAAAGCAUCGGCUAACUCCGUGCCAGCAGCCGCGGUAAUACGGAGGAUGCGGGCGUUAUCCGGAUUUAUUGGGUUUAAGGGGUGCGUAGGCGGGACCUUAAGUCAGCGGUAAAAUUGCGGUGCUCAACGCCGGAGAGCCGUUGAAACUGGGGCUCUUGAGUGAGCGAGAAGUAUGCGGAAUGCGUGGUGUAGCGGUGAAAUGCAUAGAUAUCACGCAGAACCCCGAUUGCGAAGGCAGCAUACCGGCGCUCAACUGACGCUGAGGCACGAAAGUGCGGGUAUCGAACAGGAUUAGAUACCCCUGUAGUC